Molecule: long non-coding RNA, 161 nt
Organism: Etheostoma spectabile (orangethroat darter)
Lineage: Eukaryota; Metazoa; Chordata; Actinopteri; Perciformes; Percidae
Exons: 3
Source: RefSeq, a predicted model, not a curated record
ACAUCCCGACACAGGGCGUUAAAAGUUACGCCAAGAUUCCCGACCAAGAUGUGACGCAAAAGGAGACUUUUUGUGUCAAUAACAAACACCAAAGGCAUCUGACAAAGCGUCCCUUUUUGAUGCAAUGGGAGUGAGAAUGUGUUUUCCUGAACACUGUGGAG